GGCCAGACUCCUACGGGAGGCAGCAGUGGGGAAUAUUGCACAAUGGGGGAAACCCUGAUGCAGCGACGCCGCGUGAGUGAAGAAGUAUUUCGGUAUGUAAAGCUCUAUCAGCAGGGAAGAAAAUGACGGUACCUGACUAAGAAGCCCCGGCUAACUACGUGCCAGCAGCCGCGGUAAUACGUAGGGGGCAAGCGUUAUCCGGAUUUACUGGGUGUAAAGGGAGCGUAGACGGCAUGGCAAGUCAGAUGUGAAAGCCCGGGGCUCAACCCCGGGACUGCAUUUGAAACUGUCAGGCUGGAGUGCAGGAGAGGUAAGUGGAAUUCCUAGUGUAGCGGUGAAAUGCGUAGAUAUUAGGAGGAACACCAGUGGCGAAGGCGGCUUACUGGACUGUAACUGACGUUGAGGCUCGAAAGCGUGGGGAGCAAACAGGAUUAGAUACCCGUGUAGC
This 448-nucleotide ribosomal RNA is filed under the name uncultured bacterium. RNAcentral's name for it is "partial 16S ribosomal RNA". It matches the Rfam family "Bacterial small subunit ribosomal RNA", at positions 329 to 794 of the family's 1533-position model. The record is from RNAcentral.